AGUGAACGCUGGCGGCAUGCUUUACACAUGCAAGUCGAACGGCAGCGGGGAGGAGCUUGCUUCUCUGCCGUCGCGUGGCGAACGGGGGAGUAAUAUACCUCGACGUGUCGUUAAGAGGGGGGUAAACAGCAGGAAGACUUGCGAUUACAGCAUAAACUCUGAGGAAGAAAACUGAGGACCUCGGAAUAGGUUUAGCGCUUGUUUAGCCGGCGAUGUCGGAUUAGCUAGUUGGUGGGGUAAAGGCCCACCAAGGCGAAGAUCUGUAGCUGGUCUGAGAGGAUGAUCCGCCACACUGGAACUGAGACACGGUCCAGACUCCUACGGGAGGCAGCAGUGGGGAAUUUUGGACAAUGGGGGCAAGCCUGAUCCAGCCAUGCCGCGUGUAUGAAGAAGGCCUUAGGGUUGUAAAGUACUUUUGUUAGGGAAGAAAAGUAAGCGGUGAAUAAUCGCUGAUACUGACGGUACCUAAAGAAUAAGCACCGGCUAACUUCGUG
RNAcentral lists this ribosomal RNA (494 nucleotides) under uncultured bacterium. RNAcentral describes it as "partial 16S ribosomal RNA". It matches the Rfam family "Bacterial small subunit ribosomal RNA", at positions 29 to 507 of the family's 1533-position model. The record is from RNAcentral.